Molecule: ribosomal RNA, 497 nt
Filed under: uncultured bacterium
Lineage: Bacteria
Description: partial 16S ribosomal RNA
Rfam family: Bacterial small subunit ribosomal RNA
Source: RNAcentral
GAUGAACGCUGGCGGCGUGCCUAAUACAUGCAAGUCGAGCGAACGGACGAGAAGCUUGCUUCUCUGAUGUUAGCGGCGGACGGGUGAGUAACACGUGGAUAACCUACCUAUAAGACUGGGAUAACUUCGGGAAACCGGGGCUAAUACCGGAUGAUAUUUUGAACCGCAUGGUUCAAAAGUGAAAGACGGUCUUGCUGUCACUUAUAGAUGGAUACGCGCUGCAUUAGCUAGUUGGUAAGGUAACGGCUUACCAAGGCAACGAUGCAUAGCCGACCUGAGAGGGUGAUCGGCCAGACUGGAACUGAGACUCGUCCGAGACUCCUACGGGAGGCAGCAGUAGGGAAUCUUCCGCAAUGGGCGAAAGCCUGACGGUGCAACGCCGCGUGAGUGAUGAAGGUCUUCUGAUCGUAAAACUCUGUUAUUAGGGAAGAACAUAUGUGUAAGUAACUGUGCACAUCUUGACGGUACCUAAUCAGAAGGCCACGGCUAACUACGUG